Molecule: ribosomal RNA, 387 nt
Filed under: uncultured bacterium
Lineage: Bacteria
Description: bacterial SSU rRNA
Rfam family: Bacterial small subunit ribosomal RNA
Source: RNAcentral
GACGAACGCUGGCGGCGUGCUUAACACAUGCAAGUCGAGCGGUAAGGCCCUUUCGGGGGUACACGAGCGGCGAACGGGUGAGUAACACGUGGGUGACCUGCCCUCAGCUCUGGGAUAAGCCUGGGAAACCGGGUCUAAUACCGGAUAUGACUCCAUGACGCAUGUUGUGGGGUGGAAAGCCUUGUGCGGCUGAGGAUGGGCCCGCGGCCUAUCAGCUUGUUGGUGGGGUGAUGGCCUACCAAGGCGACGACGGGUAGCCGGCCUGAGAGGGCGACCGGCCACACUGGGACUGAGACACGGCCCAGACUCCUACGGGAGGCAGCAGUGGGGAAUCUUGCGCAAUGGGCGAAAGCCUGACGCAGCGCGCCGCGUGAGGGAUGACGGCCU